Molecule: regulatory RNA element, 119 nt
Organism: Alcaligenes sp. EGD-AK7
Lineage: Bacteria; Pseudomonadati; Pseudomonadota; Betaproteobacteria; Burkholderiales; Alcaligenaceae
Rfam family: TPP riboswitch aptamer (THI element)
About the family: Vitamin B(1) in its active form thiamin pyrophosphate (TPP) is an essential coenzyme that is synthesised by coupling of pyrimidine and thiazole moieties in bacteria. The previously detected thiamin-regulatory element, thi box was extended, resulting in a new, highly conserved RNA secondary structure, the THI element, which is widely distributed in eubacteria and also occurs in some archaea.
Source: Rfam
CUUUUCACCGAGGGGAGCCUGGCGAGCAGGCUGAGAAACUGCCCGAGCAGAUUGCACCGCAGUGACCCGUUGAACCUGAUCCGGGUCAUGCCGGCGAAGGGACGGGUCUGUACCUGCUC